This 406-nucleotide ribosomal RNA is filed under the name Sphingomonas sp. IGS128. RNAcentral's name for it is "bacterial SSU rRNA". It matches the Rfam family "Bacterial small subunit ribosomal RNA", at positions 22 to 456 of the family's 1533-position model. Lineage: Bacteria; Pseudomonadati; Pseudomonadota; Alphaproteobacteria; Sphingomonadales; Sphingomonadaceae. The record is from RNAcentral.
GCUCAGAAUGAACGCUGGCGGCAUGCCUAACACAUGCAAGUCGAACGAAGGCUUCGGCCUUAGUGGCGCACGGGUGCGUAACGCGUGGGAAUCUGCCCUUGGGUUCGGAAUAACAGUUAGAAAUGACUGCUAAUACCGGAUGAUGUCGUAAGACCAAAGAUUUAUCGCCCAGGGAUGAGCCCGCGUAGGAUUAGCUAGUUGGUGGGGUAAAGGCCCACCAAGGCGACGAUCCUUAGCUGGUCUGAGAGGAUGAUCAGCCACACUGGGACUGAGACACGGCCCAGACUCCUACGGGAGGCAGCAGUGGGGAAUAUUGGACAAUGGGCGAAAGCCUGAUCCAGCAAUGCCGCGUGAGUGAUGAAGGCCUUAGGGUUGUAAAGCUCUUUUACCCGGGAUGAUAAUGACA